UCUUGCAGUUCUGCAGAUUCACCUGAAA
This 28-nucleotide non-coding RNA is filed under the name Homo sapiens (human). The record is from RNAcentral. Lineage: Eukaryota; Metazoa; Chordata; Mammalia; Primates; Hominidae.